This 945-nucleotide ribosomal RNA is filed under the name Alternaria botrytis. RNAcentral's name for it is "SSU rRNA". It matches the Rfam family "Eukaryotic small subunit ribosomal RNA", at positions 614 to 1587 of the family's 1831-position model. The record is from RNAcentral. Lineage: Eukaryota; Fungi; Ascomycota; Dothideomycetes; Pleosporales; Pleosporaceae.
UGCAGUUAAAAGCUCGUAUUGAAACUUGGGCCUGGCUGGCGGGUCCGCCUCACCGCGUGCACUCGUCCGGCCGGGCCUUCCUUCUGAAGAACCUCAUGCCCUUCACUGGGCGUGCUGGGGAAUCAGGACUUUUACUUUGAAAAAAUUAGAGUGUUCAAAGCAGGCCUUUGCUCGAAUACGUUAGCAUGGAAUAAUAAAAUAGGGCGUGCGUUUCUAUUUUGUUGGUUUCUAGAGACGCCGCAAUGAUUAACAGGAACAGUCGGGGGCAUCAGUAUUCCGUUGUCAGAGGUGAAAUUCUUGGAUUUACGGAAGACUAACUACUGCGAAAGCAUUUGCCAAGGAUGUUUUCAUUAAUCAGUGAACGAAAGUUAGGGGAUCGAAGACGAUCAGAUACCGUCGUAGUCUUAACCGUAAACUAUGCCGACUAGGGAUCGGGCGAUGUUCUUUUUCUGACUCGCUCGGCACCUUACGAGAAAUCAAAGUUUUUGGGUUCUGGGGGGAUUAUGGUCGCAAGGCUGAAACUUAAAGAAAUUGACGGAAGGUCACCACCAGGCGUGGAGCCUGCGGCUUAAUUUGACUCAACACGGGGAAACUCACCAGGUCCAGAUGAAAUAAGGAUUGACAGAUUGAGAGCUCUUUCUUGAUUUUUCAGGUGGUGGUGCAUGGCCGUUCUUAGUUCGUGGGGUGACUUGUCUGCUUAAUUGCGAUAACGAGCGAGACCUUACUCUGCUAAAUAGCCAGGCUAACUUUGGUUGGUCGCCGGCUUCUUAGAGAGACUAUCAACUCAAGUUGAUGGAAGUUUGAGGCAAUAACAGGUCUGUGAUGCCCUUUAGAUGUUCUGGGCCGCACGCGCGCUACACUGACAGAGCCAACGAGUUCUUCACCUUUGUUCGAAAGAAUUUGGUAAUCUUGUUAAACUCUGUCGUGCUGGGGAUAAAGCAUUGC